AGGAACUCGAUAAAAUGACCCCGUAACUUUGAGAUAAGGGGUGCUCUCUUAUCUUUUAAUUAGGAAAGCGACACAUAUCAGGUGGUAGUGACUGUUUAUUAAAAACACAGGACUCUAUUAAGUGGUACGAUGAAUAGAGUCUGAUACUUAACCAGUGAUGGAAGAUUGGAAGGAAAAGUGUUAUAAGCUUUGAAUGGAAGACCCGGUAAACGCCAACAGUAACUCUAACUAGUUUUCCUAACGGUUGAUUUUCGAAUCGAUUGUUGAUGGCAUUAAAAGUUUUAGAAUGGGAUGAUUUUU
RNAcentral lists this non-coding RNA (300 nucleotides) under Macleaya cordata. RNAcentral's name for it is "Bacterial large subunit ribosomal RNA". It matches the Rfam family "Bacterial large subunit ribosomal RNA", at positions 1708 to 2021 of the family's 2925-position model. The record is from Rfam by way of RNAcentral. Lineage: Eukaryota; Viridiplantae; Streptophyta; Magnoliopsida; Ranunculales; Papaveraceae.